UACUCCCUCCGUCCCACCCAAGAUGCAACAUUUUCCUUUUUGGGCCGUCCCAACCAAGAUGCUACAUUCUUUAUUUGGCAAAAACUAACACUAAUUAAAUAUUUUCUUAUUACAUUCUCUCUCCUACUUUAUCACUUUUUUAUUUUAUCUUUCUUACUUUAUCACUAAUUAAAUAUUUUCUUAUUACAUUCUCUCUCCUACUUUAUCACUUUAUUACUUCUUCUCUCCUACUUUAUCACUCCUUAAUAUAUAACUCCUUAAAUCUUGUGCCCAAAAGCAAUGUUGCGUCUUAAGUGGGACGGAGGGAGUA
RNAcentral lists this long non-coding RNA (310 nucleotides) under Salvia miltiorrhiza (redroot sage). RNAcentral's name for it is "long non-coding RNA (SMIL_LNC011858)". The record is from RNAcentral. Lineage: Eukaryota; Viridiplantae; Streptophyta; Magnoliopsida; Lamiales; Lamiaceae.